GACGAACGCUGGCGGCGUGCUUAACACAUGCAAGUCGAACGCUGAAGCACCAGCUUGCUGGUGUGGAUGAGUGGCGAACGGGUGAGUAAUACGUGAGUAACCUGCCCUUGACUCUGGGAUAAGCCCGGGAAACUGGGUCUAAUACUGGAUGCUACAUGUCACCGCAUGGUGGUGUGUGGAAAGGGUUUACUGGUCUUGGAUGGGCUCACGGCCUAUCAGCUUGUUGGUGAGGUAAUGGCUCACCAAGGCGACGACGGGUAGCCGGCCUGAGAGGGUGACCGGCCACACUGGGACUGAGACACGGCCCAGACUCCUACGGGAGGCAGCAGAGGGGAAUAUUGCACAAUGGGCGAAAGCCUGAUGCAGCGACGCCGCGUGAGGGAUGACGGCCUUCGGGUUGUAAACCUCUUUCAGCAGGGAAGAAGCCACAAGUGACGGUACCUGCAGAAGAAGCGCCGGCUAACUACGUG
RNAcentral lists this ribosomal RNA (470 nucleotides) under uncultured bacterium. Its description in RNAcentral is "partial 16S ribosomal RNA". It matches the Rfam family "Bacterial small subunit ribosomal RNA", at positions 28 to 507 of the family's 1533-position model. The record is from RNAcentral.